CUAACCCUAAUCUGCUAGCCCAAAAAACACAAAGGGUAUAGCAGAAACCCUAGUAGCCGCCGCAGCAAUCUCACCCUCGCACGCCGCCGCAAAUGGCGCGCAUGCACUCCUCCAAGCAUGUACCUGCAAAAGGCAACAAGCAGUAUAGGCAAGAAAAUCGGAAAAUAACAAAUCAAGUAGAUAAUAGAAUGAUUUUUUCUCCUUGAUUUUAUUGUUUCAAUACGGCUAUAAAAAGCCAAUUAAAAUCUAUAAAAAAGAGGGAUUUUUUUCGACAUAGAGAGAAAUACAAAGAAAAAGAUUUAAAGUAGAGUUAAAAAAGAAGAAAAGUUGAAUACAAAGGUGAUUUUUUGUUUCAUUUGUCGAGGAGUUCAUCGUUUUUUUUGUUUUUUUAUUUUUUAUAUUCUUAUGCAUAAAAUAAAAGGUAAGAGAGAAAGAAAGCCUACCUUUUCGUCGGAGCCAUCGCUUUGCCACCAUCGCCGUCGUAGUCGGGGCUUUGGUACAGGGAAGGAGGGUGGCGGCACUCAAGGGGUUAAAAGAG
This 538-nucleotide long non-coding RNA is filed under the name Gossypium raimondii (Peruvian cotton). Its description in RNAcentral is "long non-coding RNA (GRAI_LNC006292)". The record is from RNAcentral. Lineage: Eukaryota; Viridiplantae; Streptophyta; Magnoliopsida; Malvales; Malvaceae.